UAGCACCUAAUUGAUUUUACUUUUUUGCCCGUUCCCAGCAAAUUUUUGGAAUUGUGACAUAUACCUGAGCCAAGAAACUAGUUCAUGUGACAUCUCUGCCUGGGCCCCACCCAGAGGGUACAUUGUAACAUAUCUCUUGGCUCAUCACAUAGGUGAUGUGACACUACUUCUUCCCUGCCUUGGCCCUGCCUUCUGUGGAAAUUCUGCUAUGUCACUGGGCUCAUCACAUUGAUUAUAUGACUCCUCUCACGCCUGGGCCUUGCUACUAUGGGGUAUUGUGACAUAUCCCUGAGCCCAGAACCCAGACAAUAAAUAGGACUGUGGAGUAUACUCGGGCCAAGCACCUUGAUGAUGUGACUCUCGUGUCCCGGCCCUUAAGAAGAAUUUUGACAUAUUUCUGGGCCCAUAAACAACAUGAUGGCCCUCACUUAUUCUGCCUUGGCCUUACUUUCAGCAUGGUGAUGACUCUCCUACCUAGACUUAGCCAACAGAAGAGAUGUUUAGUGUCACAACUUGGUUUACAGCAACAGGGAAGUUGUGACGUAUCAGAGGGCCUGUCACCUAGGUGAAGAGAUUCUCCUCUUUUUCCUGGACCCUGAACCAAGUGAGGAUUUUGGCAUCUUACUGGGGCCUGCACCCAACUGAUACAACUCUCCUGCCUGAGCCAUGCCAAGAAGAGGCAUUGUGACAUAUCUAUGGCCCAUCACCUAGGUGAUGUGACUCCCCUCUUCUGCCUGGAUCCUGUACAAAAUGUGGAUUGUGACAUAUUGCUUGGCCCAACACCUAGGUGAUGUCUAAGACCAGGUUUCAGCACACCUGUAGGAUGUGACUCCUUUGCCAGAACACAGUCACAGGUGAAAAUGUGGCUCUAAUGCAUGGAUUAGGAUUAUUGUUGAGAUUGUUACUGGUGUACUUGGGUCUAACUCACACUCAUAUACACACUCAGCCAACAGUGACACUCACAUGAGUCAGAGUCAGCGACUCUCUACCUCGGCCCUGCCCAUAGCAGGCAUUGUGACACAUUGCUGAACCUAGCACUCAGCUGAUGUGACAAACCUGCCAGGCCCUGCACACAGGAGGCAUAUUGACAUAUUCCUUGUCCAGCAUUUAGUUAUGUGACUCUCCUGCCUAGUUCAUGCCCACAGGUUAAAUUUUGAAAUGUGCUUAUGUUCAGUUCACUGGCAUGAUGAUGAUUUUUAUACAUGGACCUGGCCAAAAAGAGAGAUUUUGACUCUCAUAGCUAGACUUAGAGCAACAUGUAUGGUCUCCUACUUGUAGAAAGGUCACAGAGAAUUUUGACACUCAUGCAUAUCCUCUAAAGCCCUUGGGUGUUACAGAGUGUCACAACAGGGCACAGCACAGCUGUGAGAUUGUGAAUUUUUAAGGCAAAACCAGCCAACUGUAAGAAAUGUCACCCACUCACAUGGACACAACCCACUUUUGAAGUUCUGAAUCUCACAUCCAGAAAUUGUCUGAUGAUGGAAUUGUGACUCUCAGAUGUGGAUUCUGUCUACAGGUAGAAUGGUGACUCUCUGACCAAGAUUCAGCAGUUAUGAAGCAGUGCCUCUCUUAUCAGGACACUGCUCACAGGUGGAAUUGAAGCUCUCAUGCACAAAUACAGUCCAGCAUUAAGACUGUGAAUCACAUACUUGGACCCAACUCACAGAAAUAGAGAACUCUCAUACCUGGAGCUGGAAUGUAUAUGGUAUUGUAAAUAUCAUCCCUG
Molecule: long non-coding RNA, 1726 nt
Organism: Papio anubis (olive baboon)
Lineage: Eukaryota; Metazoa; Chordata; Mammalia; Primates; Cercopithecidae
Source: Ensembl